This is a long non-coding RNA of Lycium ferocissimum, 309 nucleotides long. RefSeq lists it as uncharacterized. The record is from RefSeq and is a predicted model, not a curated record. The transcript has 2 exons. NCBI's taxonomy places the organism in Eukaryota, Viridiplantae, Streptophyta, Magnoliopsida, Solanales, Solanaceae.
AGAUUAUGACUAACCCAAUUGUGUUAAAGCAUUAAUCUUUAGUCUUCUCCAUAUGUAAUUGUUUAAUUGUGUGUUAAACUGUUAACAGGUUACAGAUGAUAUUGUUAGUAUUUGUUUAAUUAUACUUCCAAUGUGUUUAUUAGUAUUAUGUGCCAGCCUCGUUGUUUUUCAAGAACCAAAUCCGUACUAAUAAUUAUUUUUGAUAAUGGGAGACAAUGAAAUUAAACUGAAAACCUUUGACCAAAGAUUGAAUUAGAUUUAAAAUUAUUUUAUGUAUAUAUAGUAGAGAAUAUUUUGGUUUCUCCAUUA